UUUGGGAAUGCAGCUCAAAAUGGGUGGUAAAUUCCAUCUAAAGCUAAAUAUUGGCGAGAGACCGAUAGCGAACAAGUACCGUGAGGGAAAGAUGAAAAGAACUUUGGAAAGAGAGUUAAACAGUACGUGAAAUUGCUGAAAGGGAAACGCUUGAAGUCAGUCGCGUUGUCUGGGAAUCAACCUUGCUUUUGCUGGGCGUACUUUCCAGAUAAUGGGUCAGCAUCAAUUUUGAUCGUUGGAUAAAGUCAGAAGGAAUGUGGCAUCUUCGGAUGUGUUAUAGCCUUUUGUUGCAUACAACGGUUGGGAUUGAGGAACUCAGCACGCCGCAAGGCCGGGUACUUGUACCACGUUCGUGCUUAGGAUGCUGGCAUAAUGACUUUAAUCUGACCCGUCUUGAAACACGGACCAAGGAGUCUAACAUGCCUGCGAGUAUUUGGGUGGAAAACCCGAGUGCGCAAUGAAAGUGAAAGUUGAGAUCCCUGUCAUGGGGAGCAUCGACGCCCGG
This 505-nucleotide ribosomal RNA is filed under the name Leratiomyces percevalii. RNAcentral describes it as "eukaryotic LSU rRNA". It matches the Rfam family "Eukaryotic large subunit ribosomal RNA", at positions 273 to 768 of the family's 3401-position model. The record is from RNAcentral. Lineage: Eukaryota; Fungi; Basidiomycota; Agaricomycetes; Agaricales; Strophariaceae.